This 506-nucleotide ribosomal RNA is filed under the name uncultured bacterium. RNAcentral describes it as "partial 16S ribosomal RNA". It matches the Rfam family "Bacterial small subunit ribosomal RNA", at positions 29 to 523 of the family's 1533-position model. The record is from RNAcentral.
AGUGAACGCUGGCGGUAGGCCUAACACAUGCAAGUCGAACGGCAGCACAGGAGAGCUUGCUCUCUGGGUGGCGAGUGGCGGACGGGGGAGGAAUACAUCGGAAUCUACUCUGUCGUGGGGGAUAACGUAGGGAAACUUACGCUAAUACCGCAUACGACCUACGGGUGAAAGCAGGGGACCUUCGGGCCUUGCGCGAUUGAAUGAGCCGAUGUCGGAUUAGCUAGUUGGCGGGGUAAAGGCCCACCAAGGCGACGAUCCGUAGCUGGUUGGAGAGGAUGAUCAGCCACACUGGAACGGAGACACGGUCCAGACUCCUACGGGAGGCAGCAGUGGGGAAUAUUGGACAAUGGGCGCAAGCCUGAUCCAGCCAUACCGCGUGGGUGAAGAAGGCCUUCGGGUUGUAAAGCCCUUUUGUUGGGAAAGAAAUCCAGCUGGCUAAUACCCGGUUGGGAUGACGGUACCCAAAGAAUAAGCACCGGCUAACUUCGUGCCAGCCGCCGCCGUAA